GCUACCUGGACCAACACUGACACUGAGGCACGAAAGCGUGGGGAGCAAACAGGAUUAGAUACCCUGGUAGUCCACGCCCUAAACGAUGCGAACUGGAUGUUGGGUGCAAUUUGGCACGCAGUAUCGAAGCUAACGCGUUAAGUUCGCCGCCUGGGGAGUACGGUCGCAAGACUGAAACUCAAAGGAAUUGACGGGGGCCCGCACAAGCGGUGGAGUAUGUGGUUUAAUUCGAUGCAACGCGAAGAACCUUACCUGGCCUUGACAUGUCGAGAACUUUCCAGAGAUGGAUUGGUGCCUUCG
This 300-nucleotide ribosomal RNA is filed under the name Stenotrophomonas maltophilia. Its description in RNAcentral is "bacterial SSU rRNA". It matches the Rfam family "Bacterial small subunit ribosomal RNA", at positions 724 to 1022 of the family's 1533-position model. Lineage: Bacteria; Pseudomonadati; Pseudomonadota; Gammaproteobacteria; Lysobacterales; Lysobacteraceae. The record is from RNAcentral.